Molecule: RNA transcript, 1388 nt
Organism: Mangifera indica (mango)
Lineage: Eukaryota; Viridiplantae; Streptophyta; Magnoliopsida; Sapindales; Anacardiaceae
Gene name: GPN-loop GTPase QQT1
Exons: 10
Source: RefSeq, a predicted model, not a curated record
UAGACCUCGAAGUUUCUACACCCAGUUUCGGUUUUUGUUUAUAAAAAUUUUGCUUUCUCAAUUAAACCACUCGAGGGUUUAAUCAAUCUCGACGUAUCCAAAAGCCAGUUUCGGUUCGCGUCCAGCUUUCCUGUUGAAGCAAGAGAAGAGAAUAAAAUUUUCCGUCAAAUCACUCGAGAGAAUGGUGUUCGGGCAAGUGGUGAUUGGUCCACCUGGUUCAGGAAAAACCACUUAUUGCAAUGGCAUGUCUCAGUUUCUCAGCCUUAUUGGCAGGAAGGUUGCUGUUAUAAAUUUGGAUCCUGCUAAUGAUGCGUUGCCUUAUGAUUGUGCUGUGAAUAUUGAGGAUCUCAUAAAGCUAAGUGAUGUAAUGAUGGAGCACUCACUUGGUCCCAAUGGGGGUCUUGUAUACUGUAUGGACUAUUUAGAGAAGAACAUUGACUGGUUGGAAUCUAAAUUAAAACCUCUUAUAAAAGAUCAUUAUCUUCUCUUUGAUUUUCCUGGUCAAGUCGAAUUAUUUUUCCUUCAUUCCAGUGCCAAAAGUGUUAUAAUGAGACUCAUAAAGAAGUUAAACCUCAGGUUGACUGCUGUGCACCUAGUUGAUGCCCAUCUUUGCAGUGACCCUGGGAAGUAUGUUAGUGCAUUGCUCUUGUCAUUAUCUACCAUGCUACAUAUGGAACUCCCACACAUCAAUGUGUUGUCUAAGAUUGAUCUGAUUGAGAACUAUGGAAAACUAGCUUUUAAUCUUGAUUUCUAUACAGAUGUGCAAGAUUUAUCGUAUUUACAAUACCAUCUUGAUCAAGACCCACGUUCUGCUAAGUACAGAAAGCUCACAAAGGAGCUGUGUGAUGUAAUAGAAGAUUAUAGUUUGGUCAAUUUUACAACCUUAGAUAUUCAGCUGCUUCUCUUUAGGAUAAAGAGAGCGUGGGGAAUCUUGUGAAGCUGAUAGACAAGAGCAAUGGGUAUAUCUUUGCCAGCAUAGAUGCCAGUGCAGUUGAAUUUAGCAAGAUAGCAAUACGUGAUAUUGAUUGGGAGUAUUACAAAGCAGCGGCAGUGCAGGAGAAGUACAUUAAGGAUGAUGACAACUUCGAUUCUAAGGAUUCAUAAGCUCAAUUGUGCAGGAGAAUGGUAUUUUCUUAUUAUCAUUUUGUCUGUGAUUUUGUCUGAAUUCACCUUCCUGGGAGGCUUCUAAGUUCUGAUGUUAGUUAUUGCAGGAGCUGUAAAGUUAAGACUUCUGAUUGUAACUUCCACAUUGAGGAAAGUCUUGUCAACUAUUAACUUGUUUUUGGAUAGCAACAGCAAGUUAAACAUUGGUGUACGUUGAAUCUUAGAAUGUGUUAUUAUAAUUUUGUAUCAACUAAAUUAAAAGAAAAUCUUGAAGAUUGCCUACA